GAGACCGGCGCACGGGUGCGUAACGCGUAUGCAAUCUACCUUUCACAAAGGGAUAGCCCAGAGAAAUUUGGAUUAAUACCUUAUAGUAUAUAUGAAUGGCAUCAUUUAUAUAUUAAAGAUUUAUCGGUGAAAGAUGAGCAUGCGUCCCAUUAGCUAGUUGGUAAGGUAACGGCUUACCAAGGCAACGAUGGGUAGGGGUCCUGAGAGGGAGAUCCCCCACACUGGUACUGAGACACGGACCAGACUCCUACGGGAGGCAGCAGUGAGGAAUAUUGGACAAUGGGCGCAAGCCUGAUCCAGCCAUGCCGCGUGAGUGAUGAAGGCCUUAGGGUUGUAAAGCUCUUUUACCCGGGAUGAUAAUGACAGUACCGGGAGAAUAAGCUCCGGCUAACUCCGUGCCAGCAGCCGCGGUAAUACGGAGGGAGCUAGCGUUGUUCGGAAUUACUGGGCGUAAAGCGCACGUAGGCGG
RNAcentral lists this ribosomal RNA (469 nucleotides) under uncultured bacterium. RNAcentral's name for it is "bacterial SSU rRNA". It matches the Rfam family "Bacterial small subunit ribosomal RNA", at positions 91 to 578 of the family's 1533-position model. The record is from RNAcentral.